Sycon ciliatum is the source of this 550-nucleotide long non-coding RNA. RefSeq lists it as uncharacterized. Lineage: Eukaryota; Metazoa; Porifera; Calcarea; Leucosolenida; Sycettidae. The record is from RefSeq and is a predicted model, not a curated record. The transcript is spliced from 4 exons.
AACCGCUGUUCUCCUGAUCCCUGUCGGCCCAGGGGUUUUUGUAUUGACACAGUUGGAUCAUACCAUUGUCGUUGUGUUGAUCCUUACUAUGGAGAGCAUUGUCAAUUCACAAGAAAACCUUCUCACAAAGAUAUGUGGAUACUCGGCAGCAUAAAUAGUACAUCGGUAGAAUAUCUCUUCCCCCAAGGAGUGACUCGCAGCUGGCAGGGAGCUCAGGACUAUUGUACGUCUCUCGGUAGACUGUCAAGCCUGGCGUUUCAAUCAAGCGAUGCGGAUCAUAGCUUGCUCAUCCAGAAAUACUCUAUGCCCAAAGAGUACGAGUACUGGGCAAGAGAUCACAAUGCUGAUGUCUGUGCAGUGUACCGUGCUGGUGGAUUUCAAUUCAGUCUCCUCCACUACCAAUGUAGUAUUGCUCUACCAUUCCUUUGUGUUCGUCCGAAAGAGUAUGAUGAAUGUAGCCAUGGUGAUUACACAUGUCACCAUGGCGUUUGUGUUGACACGUACGAUUCCUAUACGUGUGAGUGUGAGACAAAAUACACGGGGGAGACGU